RNAcentral lists this ribosomal RNA (334 nucleotides) under uncultured Bacillota bacterium. RNAcentral describes it as "bacterial SSU rRNA". It matches the Rfam family "Bacterial small subunit ribosomal RNA", at positions 28 to 351 of the family's 1533-position model. Lineage: Bacteria; Bacillati; Bacillota. The record is from RNAcentral.
GACGAACGCUGGCGGCGUGCCUAAUACAUGCAAGUCGAGCGGACUGAUGGGAGCUUGCUCCCUGAUGUUAGCGGCGGACGGGUGAGUAACACGUGGGCAACCUGCCCUGUAGUUGGGGAUAACUCCGGGAAACCGGGGCUAAUACCGAAUAAUACAAUUUAGCUCCUGCUAGAUUGUUGAAAGAUGGCAUCUCGCUAUCACUACAGGAUGGGCCCGCGGCGCAUUAGCUAGUUGGUAGGGUAACGGCCUACCAAGGCGACGAUGCGUAGCCGACCUGAGAGGGUGAUCGGCCACACUGGGACUGAGACACGGCCCAGACUCCUACGGGAGGCAG